CUCCUGGAAACGGGUGGUAAUGCCGGAUGCUCCGCCCCCUCGCAUGGGGGGUCGGGAAGGCUUUUGCGGAAUGGGAUGGGGUCGCGUCCUAUCAGCUUGUUGGCGGGGCGACGGCCCACCAAGGCUUCGACGGGUAGCCGGCCUGAGAGGGCGACCGGCCACAUUGGGACUGAGAUACGGCCCAGACUUCUACGGGAGGCAGCAGUGGGGAAUAUUGCACAAUGGGGGGAACCCUGAUGCAGCGACGCCGCGUGCGGGAUGGAGGCCUUCGGGUCGUGAACCGCUUUUGAUUGGGAGCAAGCGUGAGUGAGUGUACCUUUCGAAUAAGCACCGGCUAACUACGUGCCAGCAGCCGCGGUAAUACGUAGGGUGCAAGCGUUGUCCGGAAUCAUUGGGCGUAAAGGGCUCGUAGGCGGUUCGUCGCGUCCGGUGUGAAAGCCCAUCGCUUAACGGUGGGUCUGCGCCGGGUACGGGCGGGCUUGAGUGCGGCAGGGGAGGCUGGAAUUCCCGGUGUAACGGUGGAAUGUGUAGAUAUCGGGAAGAACACC
This 548-nucleotide ribosomal RNA is filed under the name uncultured Bifidobacterium sp. RNAcentral's name for it is "bacterial SSU rRNA". It matches the Rfam family "Bacterial small subunit ribosomal RNA", at positions 147 to 710 of the family's 1533-position model. The record is from RNAcentral. Lineage: Bacteria; Bacillati; Actinomycetota; Actinomycetes; Bifidobacteriales; Bifidobacteriaceae.